RNA transcript from Phragmites australis (common reed), 1570 nucleotides. It is a transcript of the gene named cyclin-dependent protein kinase inhibitor SMR6-like, with no coding region annotated. NCBI's taxonomy places the organism in Eukaryota, Viridiplantae, Streptophyta, Magnoliopsida, Poales, Poaceae. The transcript has 5 exons. The record is from RefSeq and is a predicted model, not a curated record.
UCUUGGAUCCUAUCUUUCAUUAUUUCUCUUUCCUGAGUGCAGCUCAAAAGAAAAGUUUAGUUUUUGGUGUAAGAAUACUAUUGUCUGCUUUUUUCGUUGCGUGGCUUUACAUAUAACAUUACAUGAUUGGUCUUUAUAAGUCCCUUAUGGUGCAAAUUAUCUCCUACUGGUUAGGCUGCCCUUAUAUGUUUUAGUCGCUUUCAACUAUUUGUGGAAUACUUGUGUUCAUCUUACCUCAGAAUGCGCUUGUAAUGCAAGGGAAUGACAGAUUUGACCCAUGUUUAUGCAGCCCAUGGAAAGUGUCUGAGUUGAAUCGAGCGAAAAGAGGAACAGGAUGGAAGAUUGAAAGUACCUUUGCCUUUGGUAUAAUGCCCAUUGUUCUAGCAUUCAGAACUAUGGUAGUAUAUCAUCACCUGCUGAAAAUGGCUCAUUGGGGCCUAACUUCUGUAGGCUACAUGAACACAAGGGCGAAGAAAGGAGGUGCAUGCCCCAGAAUAUUCAAUCCAGUCAAGUGACUGCUUUGGACAAGGAAAAUACCAAGUUGGCCAGCCCCAAGUGCCACGCUGGAUCCAUCUGACGCAAAUUCUUCCAGCAGAAAAUAAGUCUCACCGCCUGGUCUGAUCCGUCACCUGCUAUGGAUUAUGAAGACCUGAGGCAGGUAAUGCUAAGCGUUUGUGCUAUUGUCCUAGAAUAUCACUGCGCCGAAAGAAGGAAAUCAAUGGACCCACUGGAAGAUGACAUGUAUGUCUUGCAUAUCCUUAUCAUCAAAGUUUCAAGCCGCCCUAGUGGCGCUGUCAGAUCUGAGUCAGCAUCGUACGUAGAUUCUAUCAUUCUUUGGAAAACUUUCAGAAGUUGAUGUUUUGUUUCGUGGAACUGUUUGCUUUUGGUCACUGGAAUAAAACCGUCACCUGUGAUCCUUCGAGCCAAUAAGCAUAGGUCGAUGUAUCGAUGGACACAAUUCUUUUUCAACGCUGUAAUAUUUCUGUAAUUUUACUUUUUAUUGACAAAACAAAGUCUGUGGCCCAGAAAAUAUGGGAUUUAUUAAAAAGAAAAGGUGGAUCAGAAAAGAGAGGCGGCAUCUUCUAAAAGCAGAGGAAGGGUGAGUAUCACAAGUUUCCUUCUUUUAUAUGAUACAUCCAAAUUUUCUUUGGAUGAAGGCAACAGGAGAAGCGAAUAUGGGCCUGUGAUUGGAGAAGAACACCCAGCAACACCAAUGUUGGCACCGGCCGUGCUAAAGCCAUCUUGUCAGGCAAGUGGUCAUGUGGAGGGAGCAACCUUUUACCAUGAGAUCAAAUGGGAAACACAAAGCAAAGGAAAGAGGUCGAUCUCCAGAGUGGAUCCAGUGAAGAGAAUUUCGGAUGUCCAUUUUCUGACGUGCGGGACCCACAAAGCCGCAAGUCUGCUUUACAACACAGCACUACACAUGCAGAAUGGUAGAUAGAUUCAUAGAUUGACAGGCACUGGCAGAUGACGCGAGCAGUGAUCUUCUCCUACUGAAAGGCUGGCCUCUCGUGGUUGAGCUGUCCGUCCCCUGCGCAUGGCGCGAACGUCAUGUGGGCCCCACCACGAC